This 868-nucleotide ribosomal RNA is filed under the name Streptomyces phaeofaciens. RNAcentral's name for it is "bacterial SSU rRNA". It matches the Rfam family "Bacterial small subunit ribosomal RNA", at positions 191 to 1085 of the family's 1533-position model. Lineage: Bacteria; Bacillati; Actinomycetota; Actinomycetes; Kitasatosporales; Streptomycetaceae. RNAcentral also lists the same sequence under 1 other name. The record is from RNAcentral.
GGGUGGAGGUUAAAAGCUCCGGCGUGAAGGAUGAGCCCGCGGCCUAUCAGCUUGUUGGUGAGGUAACGGCUCACCAAGGCGACGACGGGUAGCCGGCUGAGAGGGCGACCGGCCACACUGGGACUGAGACACGGCCCAGACUCCUACGGGAGGCAGCAGUGGGGAAUAUUGACAAUGGGCGAAAGCCUGAUGCAGCGACGCCGCGUGAGGGAUGACGGCCUUCGGGUUGUAAACCUCUUUCAGCAGGAAGAAGCGAAAGUGACCGUACCUGCAGAAGAAGCGCCGGCUAACUACGUGCCAGCAGCCGCGGUAAUACGUAGGCGCAAGCGUUGUCCGGAAUUAUUGGGCGUAAAGAGCUCGUAGGCGGUCUGUCACGUCGGAUGUGAAAGCCCGGGGUUAACCCCGGGUCUGCAUUCGAUACGGGCAGACUAGAGUGUGGUAGGGGAGAUCGGAAUUCCUGGUGUAGCGGUAAAUGCGCAGAUAUCAGGAGGAACACCGGUGGCGAAGGCGGAUCUCUGGGCCAUUACUGACGCUGAGGAGCGAAGCGUGGGGAGCGAACAGGAUUAGAUACCCUGGUAGUCCACGCCGUAAACGGUGGGAACUAGGUGUUGGCGACAUCCACGUCGUCGGUGCCGCAGCUAACGCAUUAAGUUCCCCGCCUGGGGAGUACGGCCGCAAGGCUAAAACUCAAAGAAUUGACGGGGGCCCGCACAAGCAGCGGAGCAUGUGGCUUAAUUCGACGCAACGCGAAGAACCUUACCAAGGCUGACAUACACCGGAAACGGCCAGAGAUGGUCGCCCCCUUGUGGUCGGUGUACAGGUGGUGCAUGGCUGUCGUCAGCUCGUGUCGUGAGAUGUUGGGUUAAGU